Molecule: long non-coding RNA, 294 nt
Filed under: Mytilus galloprovincialis (Mediterranean mussel)
Lineage: Eukaryota; Metazoa; Mollusca; Bivalvia; Mytilida; Mytilidae
Source: RNAcentral
UUUAAACUAUUCUUCCUGGAUAUAACUCAGCAUCUCUAUGGGUGAUGUUUCUCGAUCACAUUAACCUAGUAACGAUAAUCAUCAUGGAUCUCUAGUUAAAAACAAGCUCUUGCAGAAAAAGCUAGAAAAGCGUAAAGGUAAAGAAGGAAUAAUUCUAGUAAACUAGUUUUUUGUGAACAGAGUCUGAGUAUUGCAUAUAACUUCAUUAGAACAAUCCAAAAACGAUAAGUAGACUGACAAAUCAAGUACUGGUCUUCGGAAGGGGGCAGUCCUGUCUGCGUAUCCAUUUCUCCA